Capsella rubella is the source of this 1042-nucleotide long non-coding RNA. RefSeq lists it as uncharacterized. The record is from RefSeq and is a predicted model, not a curated record. Lineage: Eukaryota; Viridiplantae; Streptophyta; Magnoliopsida; Brassicales; Brassicaceae. The transcript has 2 exons.
AUAUGAGAGAAAAGAGGAAAGAGCAAACCGUCUCCAGGCUUUAGAAAGAGAGAUAGAGAAAUCAUAUGAGAGAAAGGAGAAAGGAGCAAAUCCUCUCCUUUAUGGACGACCUUUGAUGAAGUAAUCAAGAAAAGGGUUGCGAGAAUGUGUUUGGGGAAACCUAGAUCUAGGGAAUGGGAAAAUACUCACCACAGAGAAUUCAAGAUAGUUUGUUUGUUUGUCUCCCUCAGUUUGCAUCAUCUCACAGGACUAGUCAGAUCUGGUAUUUUUCUUUCACGCAUAGUUUCUUCUCUGUUUCUCUUAUACAAUUUAUUUAAUUUUCUAAAGUUAGGAGGCAUGAUAAGAAAAAAAUAAUCCAUAAUCAUCUCUUUAAAGAUUUCUCGUUAUAUCCAAAACGUUUGAUAUCUAAAUAAGAAUUAAUUUUGCCCAUAAAUUGCAUUGAAAACUACAUGUGAAACAUAUCAAAAAUAAGUCUCAACACGAAGUUAAAUGUUUAAAUUUUGAUCGCGGACCGAGUUUACUACAAGAUUCAAUAUAGUAAAAGUAAAAGAUGUUUCUCUUACGCGUUGACAUAUCAACAUUUUGGUGUAGCCAGGAGUUGACACACCAUUAAAAUCAACAUCCAAUCAAAAUAUUUCGAUUAAUACAACUCAUUGUGCCUCAGCCACUAAUAAUAUUCCUCUGUUCCAAGUCAUUUAAAAAAACUGAUUGCUCGAGUAUUACACUGAUACACUUAAUUGGAAGGUAGUAUGUUCGGGAUCGAUCCACAAGAGUAAAGAUACUCUAAAGAUUUGCGAGACUCAUUCUUAGAUAUAGAAAAAUGGUUUUUGUUUGGUUUUUGCUCAUGUAAAUAAGAACGCAAAUAAAUAGAGUAAUAGACAAUUAAACUUGUGAAUUAAAACAUUGGGCAAUAGGGUAUUUCAAAGAAUCAAUGACUAACAAUGAAAGAAACAAAGGAUUCAAGCAUGAAGCUCUGAACCACUCUGCUUCCCAUCUCUGUAACUGCUGAUAUUGCUUACCAAAAUGACUUGUUUUCACGAAA